GCUGCCAGAGCCCCUCCGCACAUUUCCCCCCGCACCCCCCGCCACUUACGUCACGCAGCUUCGCUCCGCCCGCCUGCCCGCCUGCCCGCCUGCCGGGUCCUGUAGGAGGACGAGGUGCGACGUGCGGAGAAUACUGCGGGAGGCUGCGCGCCGAGCUCGCGGUAUGCAUUCCACCAGGAAAACGAAGCUGCUCCUGGAGGCUCAGCUGAAUAGUCAUCUCCAGUUGAGGCAAGUCAGCAAGUGGUUGUGUCUCUGUAUGCGCUUGAACUUGGAUGACCAGAGACAGUGGAACCCUCUUCUGUGCACUGAAUAGGAGGCCCACCCCGGAAGAGUACUGGGCCCGUCCACCUCAAGUACACUUGACUUUAGUGCCGCUGGCUGGGUGGGAUCUGAAUGUACUUAUCCACUUUGAUGGGAGAAAAGGUAUCAUUUAAACAAUUCUUGAAAAUUUCAUCUGGUUCCUGUAUUCCUUCUCUGCCUUUCCCACCUCCAAAGAGCUACCACCUGUGCUCAACAGCCCAAGUUCCCAUCCCGAUUGCCUCCUGCCUCUUUGGCUCCCCAGAGUGGCGUCUCUGCCAAGGUUGCUGUUACCCACAUGGGGCCAGCUCUCCUGCAGCAGGGUCAGUAACUAAGUAACAAAACCUUUAGCCAAAAAAAUAGAGAGGUUGGGAAGCAGAUAACCUCCCCACUGGCUUGUUUGAUAUUUUACAGCAAUUAAAUAACACUUUUUCCCUUUUCAACACUUAUCAGAGGAACAACAGACAGCAGGAAAUUAAGAACAGGGCAGGACAAAGGGCCAGGACAGUGCUCAGCUCCUAACCCAGGAGGUGUACUCUGCUCUUGCUUUGAGAAGUUCUCAGCCUGGGAGCUCCGCUGGGAAGACAUCAGACUCCCAAGUAGGUCAUUACGUCUUGUGGGUUAAUAAAUUAAAUGGGAGAAAUUGUUGCUUUGCAAUCAAUUUGGUGGAAGUAAAUAUUGCAAGUGAGCCUAGAAGAAAGUGAAAGAGCCCUGGGAACCUGCUUGGAAGGGUUAGAUGCCAGUCCACGCACCCAGUGUGGCUGUUCCUGCCUCGGAUGAGAUCCUCUGUUUGUGUCGAUGGAGAAAGAGCAGUGCUGCUGUUGUCCGGUGUGUUGACUGUACAGAGGGAGGGAAAGUGUUGUGCGUGACGGCCACAUCACCUGGGCCUCCUGGAACAGUCCUGUUUUCAGCUGUUCUGUUCCUUGUCUCCCUACAAGCCAUCUGCAUUUUACCGAAA
Molecule: long non-coding RNA, 1255 nt
Organism: Cavia porcellus (domestic guinea pig)
Lineage: Eukaryota; Metazoa; Chordata; Mammalia; Rodentia; Caviidae
Exons: 2
Source: RefSeq, a predicted model, not a curated record